AUACGUAGGUCCCGAACGUUGCGCGAAAUUACUGGGCGUAAAGGGUCCGUAGGCGGUCUGGUAAGUGGAAGGUGAAAGCCUGGGGCUCAACUCCAGAAUUGCCUUCCAAACUGCCGGACUUGAGGCAGGGAGAGGUCGGCGGAAUUCUCGGUGUAGCGGUGAAAUGCGUAGAUAUCGGGAGGAACACCAGUGGCGAAGGCGGCCGACUGGAACUGUCCUGACGCUGAGGGACGAAAGCCAGGGGAGCGAACCGGAUUAGAAACCCCAGUAGUCC
RNAcentral lists this ribosomal RNA (274 nucleotides) under uncultured bacterium. RNAcentral describes it as "partial 16S ribosomal RNA". It matches the Rfam family "Bacterial small subunit ribosomal RNA", at positions 523 to 796 of the family's 1533-position model. The record is from RNAcentral.